CCUACGGGAGGCAGCAGUAGGGAAUCUUCCACAAUGGACGAAAGUCUGAUGGAGCAACGCCGCGUGUGUGAUGAAGGGUUUCGGCUCGUAAAACACUGUUGUAAGAGAAGAAUGACAUUGAGAGUAACUGUUCAGUGUGUUACGGUAUCUUACCAGAAAGGAACGGCUAAAUACGUACCAGCAGCCGCGGUAAUACGUAUGUUCCAAGCGUUAUCCGGAUUUAUUGGGCGUAAAGCGAGCGUAGACGGUUGUUUAAGUGCGGAGUGAAAGCCGACCGCUGAACUGUGGAAAUGCUUUCGAAACUGGAUAACUUGAGUGCAGUAGAGGUGAGUGGAACGCCAUGUGUAGCGGUGAAAUGCGUAGAUAUAUGGAAGAACACCAGUGGCGAAGGCGGCUCUCUGGACUGUAACUGACGUUGAGGCUCGAAAGUGUGGGUAGCAAACAGGAUUAGAUACCCGAGUAGUC
RNAcentral lists this ribosomal RNA (465 nucleotides) under uncultured Weissella sp. RNAcentral's name for it is "bacterial SSU rRNA". It matches the Rfam family "Bacterial small subunit ribosomal RNA", at positions 338 to 795 of the family's 1533-position model. Lineage: Bacteria; Bacillati; Bacillota; Bacilli; Lactobacillales; Lactobacillaceae. The record is from RNAcentral.